Maylandia zebra (zebra mbuna) is the source of this 308-nucleotide non-coding RNA. NCBI's taxonomy places the organism in Eukaryota, Metazoa, Chordata, Actinopteri, Cichliformes, Cichlidae. The record is from RefSeq and is a predicted model, not a curated record.
ACUGCGGAGAGGAGACAUUUCUGAACUUCACAGCAAGUUUCUCAGUUAAAACAAAAGCUGCGUGUUCCUGCAGAGCAUGGGCGGCUCACAUCUCAGCGUGUCUCACCCGGAGGCACUAGAUGCCCUUGUCUAAAUGUGAUGGCCAGACCUAUAACAAGGUGGCUUCUGUCCAUCUUGGUGACCAGUGUCUCUGCUGCUGCAGCAGAUCCGCCAGCUCCUCCCUCUGAUCUUGAGUGCUUUAGACCAUGUGACGAGACAAGCUGCCAUGUGGACAUACAGUGCACCUGGGAUCCAAAGUCAGACCCUAA